RNAcentral lists this ribosomal RNA (711 nucleotides) under Glaesserella parasuis str. Nagasaki. RNAcentral's name for it is "bacterial LSU rRNA". It matches the Rfam family "Bacterial large subunit ribosomal RNA", at positions 1 to 752 of the family's 2925-position model. Lineage: Bacteria; Pseudomonadati; Pseudomonadota; Gammaproteobacteria; Pasteurellales; Pasteurellaceae. The record is from RNAcentral.
GUAUGGUUAAGUGACUAAGCGUACACGGUGGAUGCCUAGGCAAUCAGAGGCGAAGAAGGACGUGCUAAUCUGCGAAAAGCUUGGAUGAGUUGAUAAGAAGCGUUUAAUCCAAGAUAUCCGAAUGGGGAAACCCGAUGGAUGAAGAAUCCAUCAUUUCAUUAUGAAUCCAUAGUAAUGAAAGGCAAACCGGGAGAACUGAAACAUCUAAGUACCCCGAGGAAAAGAAAUCAACCGAGAUUUUGUAAGUAGCGGCGAGCGAAAGCGAAAGAGCCAGUGAGUGAUAACAGCAAAGACAGAAGAAUUGGCUGGGAAGCCAAGCGACACAGGGUGAUAGCCCCGUAUUUUAAGUUUAUGUUGUGGUACUAAACUUGCAACAAGUAGGGCGGGACACGAGAAAUCCUGUUUGAAGAUGGGGGGACCAUCCUCCAAGGCUAAAUACUCCUGAUUGACCGAUAGUGAACCAGUACUGUGAAGGAAAGGCGAAAAGAACCCCAGUGAGGGGAGUGAAAUAGAACCUGAAACCGUGUACGUACAAGCAGUGGGAGCCCGAAAGGGUGACUGCGUACCUUUUGUAUAAUGGGUCAGCGACUUAUAUUUUGUAGCGAGGUUAACUGAAUAAGGGAGCCGAAGGGAAACCGAGUCUUAACUGGGCGGCUAGUUGCAAGGUAUAGACCCGAAACCCGGUGAUCUAGCCAUGGGCAGGUUGAAGGU